UGGGGAAUUUUUCGCAAUGGGCGCAAGCCUGACGAAGCAACGCCGCGUGGUGGAUGAAGGCCUUCGGGUUGUAAACUCUUGUCGACCGGGACGAAAGCUGUCUGACCCAAUACGUCGUGCAGUUGACUGUACCGGUGGAGGAAGCCACGUCUAACCCUGUGCCAGCAGCCGCGGUAAUGCAGAGGUGGCAAGCGAUGUUCGGUAUUACUGGGCGUAAAGGGCGCGUAGGCGGUUCUGUAAGUACUGUGUGAAAUCCCUCGGCUCAAAUGAGGGACUGCACGGGGGACUGCCAUGCUUGAGUUCGGGAGGAGGAAGCGGAAAUCCAGGUGUAGCGGUGAAAUGCGUAUGUAUCCGGGGGAACACCGGUGGCUAAGGCGGCUUCCUGGACCGGCACUGUCGCUGAGGCGCGAAAGCUAGGGGAGCAAACGAG
RNAcentral lists this ribosomal RNA (430 nucleotides) under Fusobacteriota bacterium. Its description in RNAcentral is "Fusobacteria bacterium partial 16S ribosomal RNA". It matches the Rfam family "Bacterial small subunit ribosomal RNA", at positions 355 to 776 of the family's 1533-position model. The record is from RNAcentral. Lineage: Bacteria; Fusobacteriati; Fusobacteriota.